This 497-nucleotide ribosomal RNA is filed under the name uncultured bacterium. Its description in RNAcentral is "partial 16S ribosomal RNA". It matches the Rfam family "Bacterial small subunit ribosomal RNA", at positions 28 to 507 of the family's 1533-position model. The record is from RNAcentral.
GAUGAACGCUGGCGGCGUGCCUAAUACAUGCAAGUCGAGCGAACGGACGAGAAGCUUGCUUCUCUGAUGUUAGCGGCGGACGGGUGAGUAACACGUGGAUAACCUACCUAUAAGACUGGGAUAACUUCGGGAAACCGGAGCUAAUACCGGAUAAUAUUUUGAACCGCAUGGUUCAAAAGUGAAAGACGGUCUCGCUGUCACUUAUAGAUGGAUCCGCGCUGCAUUAGCUAGUUGGUAAGGUAACGGCUUACCAAGGCAACGAUGCAUAGCCGACCUGAGAGGGUGAUCGGCCACACUGGAACUGAGACACGGUCCAGACUCCUACGGGAGGCAGCAGUAGGGAAUCUUCCGCAAAGGGCGAAAGCCUGACGGAGCAACGCCGCGUGAGUGAUGAAGGUCUUCGGAUCGUAAAACUCUGUUAUUAGGGAAGAACAUAUGUGUAAGUAACUGUGCACAUCUUGACGGUACCUAAUCAGAAAGCCACGGCUAACUACGUG